RNAcentral lists this RNase P RNA (488 nucleotides) under Candidatus Peregrinibacteria bacterium. RNAcentral describes it as "RNase P RNA component class A". It matches the Rfam family "Bacterial RNase P class A". From Rfam's summary of the family: Ribonuclease P (RNase P) is a ubiquitous endoribonuclease, found in archaea, bacteria and eukarya as well as chloroplasts and mitochondria. Lineage: Bacteria; Candidatus Peregrinibacteriota. The record is from RNAcentral.
UCUACAGGUGAGUGAUCGCCUGAUUCGAUCUUUAAAAAAGACUACAGGGCAAUGCAUAUAUUUGUAUUGCCUUCAGGAGGAAAGUCCGAGCACUAAAGAAGCCCCGCACAUAUAAAAUAUGUGCGCCGACGAUAACUCCUAACGGGAGUGGCCGCAAAACCUAACAAGAUUGCGGUACGGAAAGUGCCACAGAGACAAUUAAAGCUUUGCCUAAAAGUCCGCUCAACGCUGACUCCCAUGACAAGGCCAAAGGUGAAAAGCCCCACAAAGUGGGGAUCGCCGGCCGAAUAUGCCGGCAUUGGUAAACCCUAUUGAGUGCAAGGUGGAAUGGAAAAAUGCGAAUCGCAUUAGCGCUUCUUAUGCCGCAUUUUUACCACCGCUCGAGCAUUAUUGCAAAAUAAUGCCUAGAUAGAUGAUCACAUCCGGCCAAACUUGCAUAUGCAACACUUGCCUGGAAACAAAACUCGGCUUAUGAUCCUGUAGAGCAU